Molecule: long non-coding RNA, 694 nt
Filed under: Helianthus annuus (common sunflower)
Lineage: Eukaryota; Viridiplantae; Streptophyta; Magnoliopsida; Asterales; Asteraceae
Description: hypothetical non coding rna
Source: RNAcentral
GGUCGGUGGGUUUGCCACCAAACCUUUCUCUCUUAAUCUCUUAAAAUACACGUGUGUUGCCAUUUGCCACCUACCUUUCUUCUAGAUCCCUCUUUUUCUUCCUCUGUUCUCACUGAGCUCUUGAACGGUGGGAAAUCUUCUGCAGGCAUCGCAAACGGCCGCAACAUUUUCUCCAUCUUUUCUAGAGUAAGGUAUGACUAGCCAGGAGCUUUAAUUUGAUGUUCAGGUAAUUGCUAAUUUUGACAUAAGAAAAAAAAAGAAGUUUUAUAGUGAAGCCGCAUGUCAAGUUGCAACUUUAGGCUAUGUGAACUUAAUUUCAUAAGAAGUUUUAUGGUGAAGCCGGAGCUUUGUGUAAAAGAAAAAAAAAGAAGAACAACUUGGUCUAUACAUGUUCAUAUUCCUUCAAAAGAAUAACACGAGCGUGACAAUUGCGAACCAUUAUAUAUUCGGUAGUUCUUACCACCCCUGUUUUAGUUGAGCAUCAUAGUUUUUUCCACUUUUGGGAUGUAUUUGAAUUGAGUCGUUACUUGAGAAAAUCUUUAUCCAUUCCUUUGUAAAAAGAGCCUUUUGUUUUGAAGAAAUUGUAUUAUUAUGGUACGUUGUGUGCAUUAGUAUAAUCUUAAAGAAGAAGGUCGGUGACUGUGACAUCACAGCCACCGCCUUCUUUUAUAUAUAAAAAUGUUCGGCGUUACAG